CCUCCUGCACCCCCCCCCGGGGCAGCCCUGGCCGGGGCAGCUGGGGGGGCCACGGGCGCCCAUGCCAGGGCAGAUGCUGCUGCCCCCCGGCCCGCGGGGCCCCGUCCCCCCGGGGGGGCUCCAGCCCGUGCAGACCCCCAGCGAGAUGGAGGAGGACAUCCUGAUGGACCUCAUCUAGGGGGGACCCCCAAAUUCGGGGUGAGGACCCCAACAUUUGGGGUGGAAACCCCAAAAAAAACCCCAAAAAUACAAAAAUAUCCCAAAAACCCCCAAAAUCACCCCAAAAACACAACGGGAACCCCCCAAAUCAGGGUCUGCAGACCCUCAGGAGAUGGAGGAGAACAUCCUGAUGGACCUCAUCUAGAGGGGACCCAAAAUUCGGGUUGAGGACCCCAAAAUUUGGGGUGAAAACCCCAAAAAACCCUAAAAAAUACAAAAAUAUCCCAAAAAUCCCCACAAAAAACCCCAAACCACCCCAAAACCACCCCAAAUCAGGGUCUGCAGACCCCCAGGAGAUGGAGGAGGACAUCCUGAUGGACCUCAUCUAGGGGGGACCCCAAAUUCGGGGUGAGGACCCCAAAAUUUGGGGUGAAAACCCAAAAAUUUGGGGUGGAAACCCCAAAAAACCCUAAAAAAUACAAAAAUAUCCCAAAAAUCCCCACAAAAAAGCCCAAAAAACCCCAAACCACCCCAAAUCAGGGCCUGCAGACCCCCAGGAGAUGGAGGAGGACAUCCUGAUGGACCUCAUCUAGGGGGGACCCCAAAUUCGGGGUGAGGACCCCAAAAUUUGGGGUGAAAACCC
Passer montanus (Eurasian tree sparrow) is the source of this 802-nucleotide long non-coding RNA. RefSeq lists it as uncharacterized. The record is from RefSeq and is a predicted model, not a curated record. NCBI's taxonomy places the organism in Eukaryota, Metazoa, Chordata, Aves, Passeriformes, Passeridae. The transcript has 2 exons.